UGGGGAAUAUUGCACAAUGGGGGGAAACCCUGAUGCAGCGACGCCGCGUGAGUGAAGAAGUAUUUCGGUAUGUAAAGUUCUAUCAGCAGGGAAGAUAAUGACGGUACCUGACUAAGAAGCACCGGCUAAAUACGUGCCAGCAGCCGCGGUAAUACGUAUGGUGCAAGCGUUAUCCGGAUUUACUGGGUGUAAAGGGAGCGCAGGCGGUGCGGCAAGUCUGAUGUGAAAGCCCGGGGCUCAACCCCGGUACUGCAUUGGAAACUAUGCAGCUAGAGUGUCGGAGAGGUAAGUGGAAUUCCCAGUGUAGCGGUGAAAUGCGUAGAUAUUGGGAGGAACACCAGUGGCGAAGGCGGCUUACUGGACGAUGACUGACGUUGAGGCUCGAAAGCGUGGGGAGCAAACAGGAUUAGAUACCCUGGUAGU
RNAcentral lists this ribosomal RNA (423 nucleotides) under uncultured Coprococcus sp. RNAcentral's name for it is "bacterial SSU rRNA". It matches the Rfam family "Bacterial small subunit ribosomal RNA", at positions 355 to 794 of the family's 1533-position model. The record is from RNAcentral. Lineage: Bacteria; Bacillati; Bacillota; Clostridia; Lachnospirales; Lachnospiraceae.